GUUGUGGUACGUUAGUACCACUUCGCGCGACCCGACGGCGGACCUGACACCCGGGGUCGCGCGU
This 64-nucleotide non-coding RNA is filed under the name unclassified sequences. The record is from RNAcentral.